UACGGAGGAUGCGAGCGUUAUCCGGAUUCAUUGGGUUUAAAGGGUGCGCAGGCGGUGUGUCAAGUCAGCGGUAAAAUGUCGGGGCUCAACCCCGGCCGGCCGUUGAAACUGGCGUGCUCGAGUUGGAGAGAAGUAUGCGGAAUUCGUGGUGUAGCGGUGAAAUGCAUAGAUAUCACGAAGAACCCCGAUUGCGAAGGCAGCAUACCGGCUCCACACUGACGCUGAGGCACGAAAGCGUGGGUAUCGAACAGG
This 252-nucleotide ribosomal RNA is filed under the name uncultured bacterium. RNAcentral's name for it is "partial 16S ribosomal RNA". It matches the Rfam family "Bacterial small subunit ribosomal RNA", at positions 524 to 776 of the family's 1533-position model. The record is from RNAcentral.